CCAAUAUCUCCUUAUAGGAACUGUAUCUCAACAACCGCUAUCUUCUUAUAGGAACUGUAUCUCAACAGCCGAUAUCUUCUUAUAGGAUCUGUAUCUCAACAGCCGAUAUCUGUAUCUCAACAACCGAUAUCUUCUUAUAGGAACUGUAUCUCAACAACCGGUAUCUUCUUACAGGAACUGUAUCUCAAUAGCCGGUAUCUUCUUAUAGGAACUGUAUCUCAGUAGCCGGUAUCUUCUUAUAGGAACUGUAUCUCAACAGCCGGUAUCUUCUUAUAGGAACUGUAUCUCAACAGCCAGUAUCUUCUUAUAGGAACUGUAUCUCAACAGCCGAUAUCUUCUCAUAGGAACUGUAUCUCAACAGCCGGUAUCUUCUUAUUGGAACUGUAUCUCAAUAGCCGGUAUCUUCUUAUAGGAACUGUAUCUCAACAGCCGGUAUCUUUUUAUAGGAACUGUAUCUCAACAGCCGGUAUCUUCUUAUAGGAACUGUAUCUCAACAGCCGAUAUCUUCUCAUAGGAACUGUAUCUCAACAGCCGAUAUCUGUAUCUCAACAACCGAUAUCUUCUUAUAGGAAUUGUAUCUCAACAACCGAUAUAUUCUUAUAAGAACUGUAUCUCAAUAGCCGGUAUCUUCUUAUAGGAACUGUAUCUCAACAACCGGUAUCUUCUUAUAGGAACUGUAUCUCAACAGCCGAUAUCUUCUUAUAGGAACUGUAUCUCAACAGCUGGUAUCUUCUUAUAGGAACUGUAUCUCAAUAGCCAGUAUCUUCUUACAGGAACUGUAUCUCAAUAGCCGGUAUCUUCUUAUAGGAACUGUAUCUCAGUAGCCGGUAUCUUCUUAUAGGAACUGUAUCUCAACAGCCGGUAUCUUCUUAUAGGAACUGUAUCUCC
Molecule: non-coding RNA, 888 nt
Organism: Pelobates cultripes (western spadefoot toad)
Lineage: Eukaryota; Metazoa; Chordata; Amphibia; Anura; Pelobatidae
Source: the annotation of a GenBank genome assembly